RNAcentral lists this ribosomal RNA (464 nucleotides) under uncultured bacterium. RNAcentral's name for it is "partial 16S ribosomal RNA". It matches the Rfam family "Bacterial small subunit ribosomal RNA", at positions 28 to 506 of the family's 1533-position model. The record is from RNAcentral.
GACGAACGCUGGCGGCGUGCUUAACACAUGCAAGUCGAACGGAAAGGCCCUGCUUGCAGGGUACUCGAGUGGCGAACGGGUGAGUAACACGUGGGUGAUCUGCCCUGCACUUCGGGAUAAGCCUGGGAAACUGGGUCUAAUACCGGAUAGGAGCCAUUUUUAGUGUGAUGGUUGGAAAGUUUUUUCGGUGUAGGAUGAGCUCGCGGCCUAUCAGCUUGUUGGUGGGGUAAUGGCCUACCAAGGCGGCGACGGGUAGCCGGCCUGAGAGGGUGGACGGCCAAUUGGGGAUGGGGAAACGGCCCAGACCCCACGGGGGGGCAGAAGGGGGGAAUAUGGCAAAAUGGGCGGAAGCCUGAUGCAGGGACGCCGCGUGGGGGAUGAGGGCCUUCGGGUUUUAAACCCCUUUCGCCAGGGACGAAGCUUUUUGGGCCGGUACUGAGAAAAGAAGCCGCGGCAAACUACGU